CCAGCACCCCGAGUGGUCGGGACGAUUAUUGGGCCUAAAGCAUCCGUAGCCGGUUUUACAAGUCCUCCGUUAAAUCCAACUGCUUAACAGAUGGGCCGCGGAGGAUACUAUAAGACUAGGAGGCAGGAGAGGCAAGCGGUACUCAGUGGGUAGGGGUAAAAUCCGUCGAUCCAUUGAAGACCACCAGUGGCGAAGGCGGCUUGCCAGAAUGCGCUCGACGGUGAGGGAUGAAAGCUGGGGGAGCAAACCGGAUUAGAUACCCGGGUAGUCCCAGCUGUAAACGAUGCAGACUCGGUGAUGGACUAGCUUUAUGCUAGUCCAGUGCCGCAGGGAAGCCGUUAAGUCUGCCGCCUGGGUAGUACGGUCGCAAGACUG
RNAcentral lists this ribosomal RNA (375 nucleotides) under uncultured organism. Its description in RNAcentral is "bacterial SSU rRNA". It matches the Rfam family "Archaeal small subunit ribosomal RNA", at positions 476 to 851 of the family's 1478-position model. The record is from RNAcentral.